This 254-nucleotide ribosomal RNA is filed under the name uncultured bacterium. Its description in RNAcentral is "partial 16S ribosomal RNA". It matches the Rfam family "Bacterial small subunit ribosomal RNA", at positions 524 to 776 of the family's 1533-position model. The record is from RNAcentral.
UACGUAGGGUCCAAGCGUUAUCCGGAAUUACUGGGCGUAAAGAGUUGCGUAGGUGGCAUAGUAAGCGAAUAGUGAAAUGACGAGGCUCAACCUCGUGUCCAUUAUUUGAACUGCUAAGCUAGAGAAUGAGAGAGGUCACUGGAAUUCCCUGUGUAGGAGUGAAAUCCGUAGAUAUAGGGAGGAACACCGAUGGCGUAGGCAGGUGACUGGCUCAUUUCUGACACUAAGGCACGAAAGCGUGGGGAGCAAACGGG